Molecule: long non-coding RNA, 628 nt
Filed under: Homo sapiens (human)
Lineage: Eukaryota; Metazoa; Chordata; Mammalia; Primates; Hominidae
Description: HSALNT0383585
Source: RNAcentral
UCUUGGAGAUUCUUUUACAUUAUGAAUUCUAGAACAGUGGUAAGUGGUAGCUUCUACAAACAGAAAUUUACUGCCAAUGAAAUUAAAUGUGUGGCUACAACAUCAAACAACCAGAAUUUAAGAAUUAUUACAGAACAGAAUAAAGUGAGGGUCUGAAGAAUUAUCCAUAAAGCAUGAUCCUUUCUAGGAGAUUAGAAAGAAUCCUGAUUUCUUGCUUCUUAUCAACAAUGUAGAACUUUCUUCUGGUUCUUUCCUUGUACAAGAGAACGCUGGGCUUUAACUGAACACAUAGCUACCCAACUAAAGCAUCUUUUGCAGCUAGAAAUGGCCAUGUGAUCAAGUUUGGAGGAACUAGAGGGGUUGGCAAGUGAUGAGUGUGACUUUGGACCACCUCCUUGAAGAUGCAGCUGCUUCCCAGGACUUCUUUCCCACUUCCCACAGGCUGGAGAGUGGGCACCCAGGCUUUAGUCACAACCACCAAGAUGACCCUGUGGGGAGGUGACAGGGAGAGAAGAUGGACCUCUUGGAGAGGAGCAGCCACUUCUCCAGCUAUGGACUGCUGACAUAAGUACUAUUUAGAGAGAGGAAAAUAAACUAUCCCGUGUAAGUCAGCCCAUAUUUGAGUGUC